GCCCUAACGGCGGCCUACACAUGCAGUCGAGCGGCAGCGGAAGUAGCUUGCUACUUUGCCGGCGAGCGGCGGACGGGUGAGUAAUGUCUGGGAAACUGCCUGAUGGAGGGGGAUAACUACUGGAAACGGUAGCUAAUACCGCAUAACGUCGCAAGACCAAAGAGGGGGACCUUCGGGCCUCUUGCCAUCAGAUGUGCCCAGAUGGGAUUAGCUAGUAGGUGGGGUAACGGCUCACCUAGGCGACGAUCCCUAGCUGGUCUGAGAGGAUGACCAGCCACACUGGAACUGAGACACGGUCCAGACUCCUACGGGAGGCAGCAGUGGGGAAUAUUGCACAAUGGGCGCAAGCCUGAUGCAGCCAUGCCGCGUGUAUGAAGAAGGCCUUCGGGUUGUAAAGUACUUUCAGCGGGGAGGAAGGCGUUGAGGUUAAUAACCUCAGCGAUUGACGUUACCCGCAGAAGAAGCACCGGCUAACUCCGUGCCAGCAGCCGCGGUAAUACGGAGGGUGCAAGCGUUAAUCGGAAUUACUGGGCGUAAAGCGCACGCAGGCGGUCUGUCAAGUCGGAUGUGAAAUCCCCGGGCUCAACCUGGGAACUGCAUUCGAAACUGGCAGGCUAGAGUCUUGUAGAGGGGGGUAGAAUUCCAGGUGUAGCGGUGAAAUGCGUAGAGAUCUGGAGGAAUACCGGUGGCGAAGGCGGCCCCCUGGACAAAGACUGACGCUCAGGUGCGAAAGCGUGGGGAGCAAACAGGAUUAGAUACCCUGGUAGUCCACGCCGUAAACGAUGUCGACUUGGAGGUUGUGCCCUUGAGGCGUGGCUUCCGGAGCUAACGCGUUAAGUCGACCGCCUGGGGAGUACGGCCGCAAGGUUAAAACUCAAAUGAAUUGACGGGGGCCCGCACAAGCGGGUGGAGCAUGUGGUUUAAUUUCGAUGCAACGCGAAGAACCUUACCUACUCUUGACAUCCAGAGAACUUAGCAGAGAUGCUUGGUGCCUUCGGGAACUCUGAGACAGGUGCUGCAUGGCUGUCGGUCAGCUCGUGUUGGUGAAUGGUAGGUAAGUCCCGCAACGAGCGCAACCCUUAUCCUUUGUUGCAGCCGCUAAGCCGGACUCAAAGGAAACUGCCAUGAAUAACCUGAGAAGGGUGGGGAAUGACGUCAGUCAUCAUGUCCUAGCGGAUAGGCUAACCACGGGUGCCAUAUCACAAAUGGUGC
Molecule: ribosomal RNA, 1212 nt
Filed under: Enterobacter asburiae
Lineage: Bacteria; Pseudomonadati; Pseudomonadota; Gammaproteobacteria; Enterobacterales; Enterobacteriaceae
Description: bacterial SSU rRNA
Rfam family: Bacterial small subunit ribosomal RNA
Source: RNAcentral